This 642-nucleotide ribosomal RNA is filed under the name uncultured marine bacterium. RNAcentral describes it as "bacterial SSU rRNA". It matches the Rfam family "Bacterial small subunit ribosomal RNA", at positions 60 to 748 of the family's 1533-position model. The record is from RNAcentral.
AGUCGAGCGAUCUCUUCGGAGAUAGCGGCGGACGGGUGAGUAACGCGUGGGAACAUACCCAGAGGUACGGAACAACAGUCAGAAAUGACUGCUAAUACCGUAUACGCCCUACGGGGGAAAGAAUUUCGCCUUUGGAUUGGCCCGCGUUGGAUUAGAUAGUUGGUGGGGUAACGGCCUACCAAGUCUACGAUCCAUAGCUGGUUUGAGAGGAUGAUCAGCCACACUGGGACUGAGACACGGCCCAGACUCCUACGGGAGGCAGCAGUGGGGAAUCUUAGACAAGGGGCGCAAGCCUGAUCUAGCCAUACCGCGUGAGUGAUGAAGGCCUUAGGGUCGUAAAGCUCUUUCGCCAGGGAAGAUAAUGACUGUACCUGGUAAAGAAGUCCCGGCUAACUCCGUGCCAGCAGCCGCGGUAAUACGGAGGGGACUAGCGUUGUUCGGAAUUACUGGGCGUAAAGCGCACGUAGGCGGACCAGAAAGUAUGGGGUGAAAUCCCAGGGCUCAACCCUGGAACUGCCUCAUAAACUCCUGGUCUAGAGUUCGAGAGAGGUGAGUGGAAUUCCGAGUGUAGAGGUGAAAUUCAUAGAUAUUCGGAGGAACACCACGGGGCGAAAGCGGCUCACUGGCUCGAUACUGACCCUG